CCUUUGUACACACCGCCCGUCGCUACUACCGAUUGAAUGGCUUAGUGAGGAGUUCGGAGAGCCUAUGAGGAGCUGGAAACAGCACUUCACUGGUUCAAAGUUCUACAAACUUGGUCAUUUAGAGG
This 125-nucleotide ribosomal RNA is filed under the name Pucciniales sp. RNAcentral describes it as "partial small subunit ribosomal RNA". It matches the Rfam family "Eukaryotic small subunit ribosomal RNA", at positions 1657 to 1779 of the family's 1831-position model. The record is from RNAcentral. Lineage: Eukaryota; Fungi; Basidiomycota; Pucciniomycetes; Pucciniales.